UCCCUGGUAGCUCAGUUGGUAAAGCACCUGCCUGCAAUGCAGGAGACCCAGGUUCAAUCCCUGGGUUGGGAA
Cervus elaphus (red deer) is the source of this 72-nucleotide non-coding RNA. The record is from the annotation of a RefSeq genome assembly. Lineage: Eukaryota; Metazoa; Chordata; Mammalia; Artiodactyla; Cervidae.